UACGUAGGGUGCAAGCGUUAUCCGGAAUUACUGGGCGUAAAGCGUGCGCAGGCGGUUUUGUAAGUCUGACGUGAAAUCCCCGGGCUCAACCUGGGAAUUGCGAUGGAGACUGCAAGGCUUGAAUCUGGCAGAGGGGGGUAGAAUUCCACGUGUAGCAGUGAAAUGCGUAGAGAUGUGGAGGAACACCGAUGGCGAAGGCAGCCCCCUGGGUCAAGAUUGACGCUCAUGCACGAAAGCGUGGGGAGCAAACAGG
This 253-nucleotide ribosomal RNA is filed under the name uncultured bacterium. RNAcentral describes it as "partial 16S ribosomal RNA". It matches the Rfam family "Bacterial small subunit ribosomal RNA", at positions 524 to 776 of the family's 1533-position model. The record is from RNAcentral.